ACUCCUACGGGAGGCAGCAGUGGGGAAUAUUGCACAAUGGGCGCAAGCCUGAUGCAGCCAUGCCGCGUGUAUGAAGAAGGCCUUCGGGUUGUAAAGUACUUUCAGCAGUGAGGAAGGCGGGUACGUUAAUAGCGUGCUCGUUUGACGUUAGCUGCAGAAGAAGCACCGGCUAACUCCGUGCCAGCAGCCGCGGUAAUACGGAGGGUGCGAGCGUUAAUCGGAAUUACUGGGCGUAAAGCGUGCGUAGGCGGCUUUUUAAGUCGGAUGUGAAAUCCCCGAGCUUAACUUGGGAAUUGCAUUCGAUACUGGGGAGCUAGAGUAUGGGAGAGGAUGGUAGAAUUCCAGGUGUAGCGGUGAAAUGCGUAGAGAUCUGGAGGAAUACCGAUGGCGAAGGCAGCCAUCUGGCCUAAUACUGACGCUGAGGUACGAAAGCAUGGGGAGCAAACAGGAUUAGAUACCCUGGUAGCUA
Molecule: ribosomal RNA, 469 nt
Filed under: uncultured bacterium
Lineage: Bacteria
Description: bacterial SSU rRNA
Rfam family: Bacterial small subunit ribosomal RNA
Source: RNAcentral